CCUUAUGAUGACUUCUUACUAUCUAUUGUUCUAUCCCUGAGUUCAUCAUGAUGAACAAUCAAUUCACCUUGGAGAACUGAUCU
This is a small nucleolar RNA of 83 nucleotides. It matches the Rfam family "A. fumigatus snoRNA Afu_294". The record is from Rfam.